Molecule: ribosomal RNA, 569 nt
Filed under: uncultured bacterium
Lineage: Bacteria
Description: bacterial SSU rRNA
Rfam family: Bacterial small subunit ribosomal RNA
Source: RNAcentral
CAGUCGAGGGGCAGCGCGGGGUAGCAAUACUCUGGCGGCGACCGGCGGAAGGGUGCGUAACACGUGAGCGACUUGCCCGAUACAGGGAGAUAACCGGUGGAAACGCCGACUAAUAUCCCAUAGGACUUGAGGCUGCAUGGCCUUGAGUUGAAAGGUUCGCCGGUAUCGGAUAGGCUCGCGGGACAUUAGCUUGAUGGCGGGGCAACGGCCCACCAUGGCGACGAUGUCUAGGGGUUCUGAGAGGAAGACCCCCCACACUGGGACUGAGACACGGCCCAGACUCCUACGGGAGGCAGCAGUGAGGAAUAUUGGUCAAUGGGCGGAAGCCUGAACCAGCCAUGCCGCGUGAAGGACUAAGGCCCUAUGGGUCGUAAACUUCUUUAGACGCAGAGCAAUAAGGGCCUCGCGAGGUCCGAUGAGAGUAUGCGUAGAAUAAGCAUCGGCUAACUCCGUGCCAGCAGCCGCGGUAAUACGGGGGAUGCGAGCGUUAUCCGGAUUUAUUGGGUUUAAAGGGUGCGUAGGCGGCGAAUUAAGUCAGCGGUGAAAGACCGGGGCUCAACCCUGGAAGU